GAUGAAGAACGUAGUGAAAUGCGAUACUUGGUGUGAAUUGCAGAAUCCCGUGAACCAUCGAGUCUUUGAACGCAAGUUGCGCCCGAAGCCAUUAGGCCGAGGGCACGCCUGCCUGGGCGUCACACGUCGUUGCCCCCCCAUCUACUCCUUCGGGAUUGCGGGGGGCGGAUGAUGGCCUCCCGUGCGCCUCGUCGCGCGGUUGGCAUAAAUGCCAAGUCCUCGGCGACGCACGCCACGACAAUCGGUGGUUGCGAAACCUCGGUUGCCCGUCGUGUGCGGUCGUCGCGCAACGAGGGCUCGAAAAAAUUGCCGGGCUCCGGCUCGGCUUUCAACGCGACCCCAGGUCAGGCGGGGUUACCCGCUGAAUUUAAGCAUAUCAAUAAGCGGAGGA
This 391-nucleotide unclassified non-coding RNA is filed under the name soil metagenome. Its description in RNAcentral is "partial contains 5.8S ribosomal RNA, internal transcribed spacer 2, and large subunit ribosomal RNA". The stretch from base 1 to 122 matches the Rfam family "5.8S ribosomal RNA", at positions 35 to 154 of the family's 154-position model. The record is from RNAcentral.